Molecule: long non-coding RNA, 274 nt
Organism: Hippocampus comes (tiger tail seahorse)
Lineage: Eukaryota; Metazoa; Chordata; Actinopteri; Syngnathiformes; Syngnathidae
Exons: 2
Source: RefSeq, a predicted model, not a curated record
AGCAUGUUGAGGAAAACAUCACUGAAAGGUGACAGGCAACAUAGUCCAAAUAUGUGACCAAACAAAAGUUGAUGAUUAAUGCCGAGUUCAUCAUCCAGUGGUUAAGGUAGGAAAGCCCUUUAAUGACCUGUGAAAAUAAAAAUGGCAUUUAAGGAUUGAUUUCAAUUGCUAAUAGCCUUGAAAUGUCAACAUGCUGUAGAACUUUUGAGUGCCCUGGCCAGGGUGACUCAACAACUCACUCAACACUCCCAGUGCGAACAGGAAAACAUACAAG